GUCCCCCUUUGCGGGGAGGGCUCACGUUUUCACACAAAACUUGAUACUGUAUAGAAUGUUUAUUUUUGCGGUCACACGCAAUCAAUACAACUUUCAACAACGGAUCUCUUGGCUCUCGCAUCGAUGAAGAACGCAGCGAAAUGCGAUACGUAAUGUGAAUUGCAGAAUUCAGUGAAUCNUCGAAUCUUUGAACGCNCCUUGCGCCCCUUGGCAUUCCGAGGGGCACACCCGUUUGAGUNUCGUGAAAUUCUCAAAACCCUUUUCUUUAAUCUUUUUUGGUUAGGAAAAGGACUUUUGGACUUGGAGGUNUAAUGCUUGCUUUUGNCUUUAAAAGUGAGCUCCNNNCAAAUAAAUUAGUGGGGUCUGCUUUGCUGAUUCUUAACGUGAUAAGAUGUUUUUACGUUUUGGAUUUGGCACUGUCUCUUGGAUGUCUGCUUCUAACUGUCUCAAGGACAAAAUGAUGGUGUUUCGGUCACUGCCAUUUAUGUUGGCGGGAGGCUGGACCCACAAAAAAAAAACCUUGACCUCAAAUCGGGUGAGACUACCCGCUGAACUUAAGCAUAUCAAUAAGCGGAGGAAAAGAAACUAACAAGGNNNCCCCUAGUAACUGCGAGUGAAGCGGGAAAAGCUCAAAU
Molecule: ribosomal RNA, 635 nt
Filed under: uncultured fungus
Lineage: Eukaryota; Fungi
Description: eukaryotic LSU rRNA
Rfam family: 5.8S ribosomal RNA (bases 89-242)
Source: RNAcentral